CCCUUAGAUGUCCUGGGCCGCACGCGCGCUACACUGAGUGUCUGAGAUAUGAGGCAUGCCUGGUCCGGCAAGGUCUAGGUAAUCACGAAAAGGCACAUCAUGCUUGGGAUUGAUUAUUGCAAAUUUUAAUCAUGAACGAGGAAUUCCUAGUAAGCGCGAGUCAUCAGCUCGCGCUGAUUACGUCCCUGCCCUUUGUACACACCGCCCGUCGCUACUACAGAGUGCCCGUGUCCAAGAAACGGUCGGACCUGUGCGGCCUCUCCGGGCGACCGGAGGGCCGUUACGGGGAAGACCCUUUAUUUGACGCGGGUCGAUGAAGUAAAAGUCGUAACA
This 333-nucleotide ribosomal RNA is filed under the name uncultured eukaryote. RNAcentral's name for it is "partial 18S ribosomal RNA". It matches the Rfam family "Eukaryotic small subunit ribosomal RNA", at positions 1470 to 1796 of the family's 1831-position model. The record is from RNAcentral.